AACGAACGCUGGCGGCAGGCUUAACACAUGCAAGUCGAGCGCCCCGCAAGGGGAGCGGCAGACGGGUGAGUAACGCGUGGGAACGUACCUUUUGGUUCGGAACAACUCCGGGAAACUGGAGCUAAUACCGGAUAAGCCCUAACGGGGAAAGAUUUAUCGCCGAAAGAUCGGCCCGCGUCUGAUUAGCUAGUUGGUGAGGUAACGGCUCACCAAGGCGACGAUCAGUAGCUGGUCUGAGAGGAGGAUCAGCCACACUGGGACUGAGACACGGCCCAGACUCCUACGGGAGGCAGCAGUGGGGAAUAUUGGACAAUGGGCGCAAGCCUGAUCCAGCCAUGCCGCGUGAGUGAUGAAGGCCUUAGGGUUGUAAAGCUCUUUUGUCCGGGAAGAUAAUGACUGUACCGGAAGAAUAAGCCCCGGCUAACUUCGUG
This 431-nucleotide ribosomal RNA is filed under the name uncultured bacterium. RNAcentral describes it as "partial 16S ribosomal RNA". It matches the Rfam family "Bacterial small subunit ribosomal RNA", at positions 29 to 507 of the family's 1533-position model. The record is from RNAcentral.